AGAAUCAACGCUGGCGGCGUGCCUAACACAUGCAAGUCGAACGAGAAAGUGGAGCAAUCCAUGAGUAAAGUGGCGCACGGGUGAGUAACACGUGCUAACCUACCCUUGAGUGGGGGAUAACCUAGAGAAAUCUGGGCUAAUACCGCAUAAUACCUUCGGGUCAAAGGAGCAAUUCGCUUAAGGAGGGGGUCGCGGCCGAUUAGUUAGUUGGCGGGGUAAUGGCCCACCAAGACUGUGAUCGGUA
Molecule: ribosomal RNA, 244 nt
Filed under: uncultured bacterium
Lineage: Bacteria
Description: partial small subunit ribosomal RNA
Rfam family: Bacterial small subunit ribosomal RNA
Source: RNAcentral